UGUGUGUUAGUGGAAGCGUCUGGAAAGGCGCGCGAUACAGGGUGACAGCCCCGUACACAAAAAUGCACAUGCUGUGAGCUCGAUGAGUAGGGCGGGACACGUGGUAUCCUGUCUGAAUAUGGGGGGACCAUCCUCCAAGGCUAAAUACUCCUGACUGACCGAUAGUGAACCAGUACCGUGAGGGAAAGGCGAAAAGAACCCCGGCGAGGGGAGUGAAAAAGAACCUGAAACCGUGUACGUACAAGCAGUGGGAGCACGCUUAGGCGUGUGACUGCGUACCUUUUGUAUAAUGGGUCAGCGACUUAUAUUCUGUAGCAAGGUUAACCGAAUAGGGGAGCCGAAGGGAAACCGAGUCUUAACUGGGCGUUAAGUUGCAGGGUAUAGACCCGAAACCCGGUGAUCUAGCCAUGGGCAGGUUGAAGGUUGGGUAACACUAACUGGAGGACCGAACCGACUAAUGUUGAAAAAUUAGCGGAUGACUUGUGGCUGGGGGUGAAAGGCCAAUCAAACCGGGAGAUAGCUGGUUCUCCCCGAAAGCUAUUUAGGUAGCGCCUCGUGAAUUCAUCUCCGGGGGUAGAGCACUGUUUCGGCAAGGGGGUCAUCCCGACUUACCAACCCGAUGCAAACUGCGAAUACCGGAGAAUGUUAUCACGGGAGACACACGGCGGGUGCUAACGUCCGUCGUGAAGAGGGAAACAACCCAGACCGCCAGCUAAGGUCCCAAAGUCAUGGUUAAGUGGGAAACGAUGUGGGAAGGCCCAGACAGCCAGGAUGUUGGCUUAGAAGCAGCCAUCAUUUAAAGAAAGCGUAAUAGCUCACUGGUCGAGUCGGCCUGCGCGGAAGAUGUAACGGGGCUAAACCAUGCACCGAAGCUGCGGCAGCGACGCUUAUGCGUUGUUGGGUAGGGGAGCGUUCUGUAAGCCUGUGAAGGUGUGCUGUGAGGCAUGCUGGAGGUAUCAGAAGUGCGAAUGCUGACAUAAGUAACGAUAAAGCGGGUGAAAAGCCCGCUCGCCGGAAGACCAAGGGUUCCUGUCCAACGUUAAUCGGGGCAGGGUGAGUCGACCCCUAAGGCGAGGCCGAAAGGCGUAGUCGAUGGGAAACAGGUUAAUAUUCCUGUACUUGGUGUUACUGCGAAGGGGGGACGGAGAAGGCUAUGUUGGCCGGGCGACGGUUGUCCCGGUUUAAGCGUGUAGGCUGGUUUUCCAGGCAAAUCCGGAAAAUCAAGGCUGAGGCGUGAUGACGAGGCACUACGGUGCUGAAGCAACAAAUGCCCUGCUUCCAGGAAAAGCCUCUAAGCAUCAGGUAACAUCAAAUCGUACCCCAAACCGACACAGGUGGUCAGGUAGAGAAUACCAAGGCGCUUGAGAGAACUCGGGUGAAGGAACUAGGCAAAAUGGUGCCGUAACUUCGGGAGAAGGCACGCUGAUAUGUAGGUGAGGUCCCUCGCGGAUGGAGCUGAAAUCAGUCGAAGAUACCAGCUGGCUGCAACUGUUUAUUAAAAACACAGCACUGUGCAAACACGAAAGUGGACGUAUACGGUGUGACGCCUGCCCGGUGCCGGAAGGUUAAUUGAUGGGGUUAGCGGUAACGCGAAGCUCUUGAUCGAAGCCCCGGUAAACGGCGGCCGUAACUAUAACGGUCCUAAGGUAGCGAAAUUCCUUGUCGGGUAAGUUCCGACCUGCACGAAUGGCGUAAUGAUGGCCAGGCUGUCUCCACCCGAGACUCAGUGAAAUUGAACUCGCUGUGAAGAUGCAGUGUACCCGCGGCAAGACGGAAAGACCCCGUGAACCUUUACUAUAGCUUGACACUGAACAUUGAGCCUUGAUG
Molecule: ribosomal RNA, 1827 nt
Filed under: Escherichia coli
Lineage: Bacteria; Pseudomonadati; Pseudomonadota; Gammaproteobacteria; Enterobacterales; Enterobacteriaceae
Description: partial 23S ribosomal RNA
Rfam family: Bacterial large subunit ribosomal RNA
Source: RNAcentral